Molecule: small nuclear RNA, 137 nt
Filed under: Oncorhynchus kisutch (coho salmon)
Lineage: Eukaryota; Metazoa; Chordata; Actinopteri; Salmoniformes; Salmonidae
Description: U2 spliceosomal RNA (ENSOKIG00005050462.1)
Rfam family: U2 spliceosomal RNA
About the family: U2 is a small nuclear RNA (snRNA) component of the spliceosome (involved in pre-mRNA splicing). Complementary binding between U2 snRNA (in an area lying towards the 5' end but 3' to hairpin I) and the branchpoint sequence (BPS) of the intron results the bulging out of an unpaired adenosine, on the BPS, which initiates a nucleophilic attack at the intronic 5' splice site, thus starting the first of two transesterification reactions that mediate splicing.
Source: Rfam by way of RNAcentral
AUCGCUUCUCGGCCUUUUGGCUCAGAUCAAGUGUAGUAUCUGUUCUUAUCAGUUUAAUAUCUGAUACGUCCCCCAUAGGGGGACUACAUAUUAAAUGGAUUUUUCGAACAGGGAGUCGGAAAUGGGGCUUAGCUUAG